UAAGAGGGCCCAACCUCCAUUCGGGAGCGU
RNAcentral lists this small RNA (30 nucleotides) under Bombyx mori (domestic silkworm). Its description in RNAcentral is "ovarian small RNA-5744". Lineage: Eukaryota; Metazoa; Arthropoda; Insecta; Lepidoptera; Bombycidae. The record is from RNAcentral.